GGGGAUAUAGCUCAGUGGUACAGCACCUGCCUGGUAAGCACAAGGUUCUAAAUUUUAUCCCCA
Molecule: transfer RNA, 63 nt
Filed under: Cavia porcellus (domestic guinea pig)
Lineage: Eukaryota; Metazoa; Chordata; Mammalia; Rodentia; Caviidae
Rfam family: tRNA
About the family: Transfer RNA (tRNA) molecules are approximately 80 nucleotides in length. Their secondary structure includes four short double-helical elements and three loops (D, anti-codon, and T loops).
Source: Rfam by way of RNAcentral